This 253-nucleotide ribosomal RNA is filed under the name uncultured bacterium. Its description in RNAcentral is "partial 16S ribosomal RNA". It matches the Rfam family "Bacterial small subunit ribosomal RNA", at positions 524 to 776 of the family's 1533-position model. The record is from RNAcentral.
UACGUAGGGGGCAAGCGUUGUCCGGAAUCAUUGGGCGUAAAGAGCGUGUAGGCGGCCCGAUAAGUCCGCUGUGAAAGUCCAGGGCUCAACCCUGGGAUGCCGGUGGAUACUGUCGGGCUCGAGUCCGGAAGAGGCGAGUGGAAUUCCUGGUGUAGCGGUGAAAUGCGCAGAUAUCAGGAGGAACACCAAUGGCGAAGGCAGCUCGCUGGGACGUGACUGACGCUGAGGAGCGAAAGCAUGGGGAGCGAACAGG